Molecule: long non-coding RNA, 749 nt
Organism: Olea europaea var. sylvestris
Lineage: Eukaryota; Viridiplantae; Streptophyta; Magnoliopsida; Lamiales; Oleaceae
Exons: 2
Source: RefSeq, a predicted model, not a curated record
AAAACGGGAGGCUAGUUGGAAGAAAACCGUCGUUUUUGACGAUUGUUAGUCAGCUGAAAUUAUUGGGAUCACAUGUCGUUCUAGAAUUGGGCCUAUAGUAAAGAAAUCAAUUAUUUUGGAAACCAAAUGUGAAUGCUAGAAAAAUGGAUUUAUCUUUCAGGAAAAGCUGUAGACUUUAAGCAACAUAUGAUAUUAAAAAAAAAAAAAAAAAUUAAUUAUAUGCAGGUAGAUUUGGUCAAAUUUACAUGUUGAAUCUGCAUUUCCACCUCUCUCUAUAAAAUUGAAUUUCUGGGAUGCAAAAGAUAUAAAACUAGAGCAAUGGAUACCACCAGAAGGGCAAAGUUUAUGAUGGCGAUGCUAGUGGUCUUUCUAAUACUCGACUGCUUCCCUUCGGGUUAUGCAUCGGCCUCCUCUGCCACUCCAGGGACAAGCCGGGAGCGUAGUUCAUCAUGGUGCUAGAGAAGCAAAUCUAGAAAAUUAGUUAUGGAUUGCCGGAGGCAUUUCGUUUUUCUAAAGACCAGCACUGCCUCCGAAAGCCUUAGAGUGGUUGCCGGCGGGCACAACCUACCACCGCCUCCCCAGUCUUGAAGUUUCCAAGUUUAGUCUCUUUCUUUUCCUAAGCAAAGUUUAUGCGCCAAAAGAAUUUUUAUUGAUGUGUUGUGUAUUAAAAAACUAAAUUUCAUGAACAAAAAUAAAUAAAUAAUAAAAAUAUUGUGAUGAAGAAACAAGAGAGUGAAUUCAACUGCAAA